UAGCAUAUCAAUAAGCGGAGGAAAAGAAACUAACAAGGAUUCCCCUAGUAACUGCGAGUGAAGCGGGAAAAGCUCAAAUUUAAAAUCUGGCGGUCUUUGGCCCGUCCGAGUUGUAGUCUGGAGAAGUGCUUUCCGCGCUGGACCGUGUAUAAGUCUCUUGGAACAGAGCGUCAUAGAGGGUGAGAAUCCCGUCUUUGACACGGACUACCAGUGCUUUGUGAUGCGCUCUCAAAGAGUCGAGUUGUUUGGGAAUGCAGCUCAAAAUGGGUGGUGAAUUCCAUCUAAAGCUAAAUAUUGGCGAGAGACCGAUAGCGAACAAGUACCGUGAGGGAAAGAUGAAAAGCACUUUGGAAAGAGAGUUAAACAGUACGUGAAAUUGCUGAAAGGGAAACGCUUGAAGUCAGUCGCGUCGUCCGGAACUCAGCCUUGCUUUUGCUUGGUGCACUUUCCGGAUGACGGGCCAGCAUCGAUUUUGACCGUCGGAAAAGGGCUAGGGUAAUGUGGCACCUUCGGGUGUGUUAUAGACCUUAGUCGCAUACGGCGGUUGGGAUCGAGGAACGCAGCGCGCCGCAAGGCAGGGGUUCGCCCACUUUCGCGCUUAGGAUGCUGGCAUAAUGGCUUUAAACGACCCGUCUUGAAACACGGACCAAGGAGUCUAACAUACCUGCGAGUGUUUGGGUGGAAAACCCGAGCGCGUAAUGAAAGUGAAAGUUGAGACCUCUGUCGUGGAGGGCAUCGACGCCCGGACCUGACGUUCUCUGACGGAUCCGCGGUAGAGCAUGUAUGUUGGGACCCGAAAGAUGGUGAACUAUGCCUGAAUAGGGUGAAGCCAGAGGAAACUCUGGUGGAGGCUCGUAGCGAUUCUGACGUGCAAAUCGAUCGUCAAAUUUGGGUAUAGGGGCGAAAGACUAAUCGAACCAUCUAGUAGCUGGUUCCUGCGUCCCCCUUCUCCACGCAAAUAAAAAA
RNAcentral lists this ribosomal RNA (966 nucleotides) under Dichomitus sp. RNAcentral describes it as "partial large subunit ribosomal RNA". It matches the Rfam family "Eukaryotic large subunit ribosomal RNA", at positions 36 to 1379 of the family's 3401-position model. Lineage: Eukaryota; Fungi; Basidiomycota; Agaricomycetes; Polyporales; Polyporaceae. The record is from RNAcentral.